GAGAGGCUACUGCCAGCAGCAAAGGCCGCUACCCUUCGCAACUUCGGUUGGAGCCCGAAGCUCCCUC
This 67-nucleotide transfer RNA is filed under the name Priolepis hipoliti (rusty goby). RNAcentral describes it as "tRNA-Ser". The record is from RNAcentral. Lineage: Eukaryota; Metazoa; Chordata; Actinopteri; Gobiiformes; Gobiidae.